GCAUAUCAAUAAGCGGAGGAAAAGAAACCAACCGGGAUUGCCUCAGUAACGGCGAGUGAAGCGGCAAGAGCUCAAAUUUGAAAUCUGGCCCCUUUGGGGUCCGAGUUGUAAUUUGCAGAGGAUGCUUCGGGUGCGGUCCCCAUCUAAGUGCCCUGGAACGGGCCGUCAUAGAGGGUGAGAAUCCCGUCUGGGAUGGGCGGCCGUGCCCGUGUGAAGCUCCUUCGACGAGUCGAGUUGUUUGGGAAUGCAGCUCUAAGCGGGUGGUAAAUUUCAUCUAAAGCUAAAUACUGGCCGGAGACCGAUAGCGCACAAGUAGAGUGAUCGAAAGAUGAAAAGCACUUUGAAAAGAGAGUUAAACAGCACGUGAAAUUGUUGAAAGGGAAGCGUUGUCCACCAGACUCGCCCGGGGGGGUUCAGCCGGCACGUGUGCCGGUGUACUCCUCUCCGGGCGGGCCAGCAUCGGUUUGGGCGGCUGGUGAAAGGCCCCGGGAAUGUAACACCCUUCGGGGUGCCUUAUAGCCCGGGGUGCCAUACAGCCAGCCUGGACCGAGGCCCGCGCUUCGGCGAGGAUGCUGGCGUAAUGGUGGUCAACGGCCCGUCUUGAAACACGGACCAAGGAGUCUAACAUCUAUGCGAGUGUUCGGGUGUCAAACCCGUCCGCGCAGUGAAAGCGAACGGAGGUGGGAGCCCCUCGGGGCGCACCAUCGACCGAUCCUGAUGUCUUCGGAUGGAUUUGAGUAAGAGCAUAGCUGUUGGGACCCGAAAGAUGGUGAACUAUGCCUGAAUAGGGCGAAGCCAGAGGAAACUCUGGUGGAGGCUCGCAGCGGUUCUGACGUGCAAAUCGAUCGUCAAAUUUGGGUAUAGGGGCGAAAGACUAAUCGAACCAUCUGGUAGCUGGUUCCUGCCGA
This 908-nucleotide ribosomal RNA is filed under the name Talaromyces verruculosus. Its description in RNAcentral is "LSU rRNA". It matches the Rfam family "Eukaryotic large subunit ribosomal RNA", at positions 38 to 964 of the family's 3401-position model. Lineage: Eukaryota; Fungi; Ascomycota; Eurotiomycetes; Eurotiales; Trichocomaceae. The record is from RNAcentral.